RNAcentral lists this ribosomal RNA (468 nucleotides) under uncultured bacterium. RNAcentral describes it as "partial 16S ribosomal RNA". It matches the Rfam family "Bacterial small subunit ribosomal RNA", at positions 28 to 507 of the family's 1533-position model. The record is from RNAcentral.
GACGAACGCUGGCGGCGUGCUUAACACAUGCAAGUCGAACGGAAAGGCCCUGCUUUUGUGGGGGGCUCGAGUGGCGAACGGGUGAGUAACACGUGAGUAACCUGCCCUGGACUUUGGGAUAACUUCAGGAAACUGGGGCUAAUACCGGAUAGGAGCUCCUGCUGCAUGGUGGGGGUUGGAAAGUUUCGGCGGUUGGGGAUGGACUCGCGGCUUAUCAGCUUGUUGGUGGGGUAGUGGCUUACCAAGGCUUUGACGGGUAGCCGGCCUGAGGGGGUGACCGGCCACAUUGGGACUGAGAUACGGCCCAGACUCCUACGGGAGGCAGCAGUGGGGAAUAUUGCACAAUGGGCGGAAGCCUGAUGAAGCAACGCCGCGUGCGGGAUGACGGCCUUCGGGUUGUAAACCGCUUUCGCCUGUGACGAAGCGUGAGUGACGGUAAUGGGUAAAGAAGCACCGGCUAACUACGUG